Molecule: long non-coding RNA, 208 nt
Organism: Thalassophryne amazonica
Lineage: Eukaryota; Metazoa; Chordata; Actinopteri; Batrachoidiformes; Batrachoididae
Exons: 3
Source: RefSeq, a predicted model, not a curated record
AUCUUUUUAAUAGGAUGCAAUGGGCCCCAGACCCGAGGUCUAUAGUGUCAGCUUAACAUUACCGGCAUUGUAUCCGAGGGCUCUCUUCAAGAUGGUGACCAUUCCCUUAAUUGCUGAUAACUGCACCUCAUGGGCACUUGGGUGACCAGGUUUUGGUUCAAGGUAUUUCUUCAGGUUCUUCUUCAUAAACCCUGUUGUUCCACCAGAU